UAAUGUAUAUAAAGAGACUAUUAAGGAGGCCUAGCUAUAUAUUAAAGAGAUUAAUUUGUGUUUUUAAUUUUACACAUGCACUCUUAGAGAAAUUCAAUAAUAAACGAAGUGAAUUGAAAUAUCUUAGUAACUUUAGGAAAAGAAAUCAAACGAGAUUCUAUGAUUAGUGUGAAUGAAAAUAGAAAAGCCAAGAAAAAAAUAAGUAAAACGGGCAUAACCAGUUUGAAAACGUAAAAAGAGUGUGCUCUAGCGACAGAGACAAGGUCUAAGCACUCGUAAUUUUACAAAGGGGAACCUUCCUCUAAGGCUAAAUAUAAUAUAUAAGCGAUAGCGUAUAGUACUGUGAAGGAAAGGUUUGAAUUAGUAGUCUUAUAAGCAGCUUUAGCUUUAUUUAAUUAAAAAGUGAUAGCGUACCUUUUGCAUAAUGGGUCAGUAAGUUAAUAUUAGAUGCGAGCAUUCGUGCCCAGAUAAACCAAUUAUGAAUUAAUGAUUUAGUAUCUAAAAUUAGACCCGAAGCCUAGUGAUCUUACCACAGUCAGGAUCACAAAAGUCUGAACGGGUUGUCGUUGCAAAGACAUCCGAUGAACUAUGGUAAGUAAGUGAAAGACAACACUGACUAGGAAAUAGCUGGUUUUCUGCGAAACCUAUAAAAGUAGGUAAUUUAAGUAACAUCAUAGCAGGUACAGAACUGUGUUCUCAGGCAACUUAGAAAUAUUUUGCAUAUAUCGGGCAAUCGUGAAGAUUUUAUCGGUGAGUAAUCGCACUCGGAAUGGUUAUGAUGAAUAUUAAAUAAUCGGACAUAGUACGCUAAGGUUGUAUUGUCUAAAGGGAAACAGCCCAGAACAAGAGUUUAAGGUUCCAAAUUUAUUGUUAAGUGAAAUUAAGGAUGUUUCUGUAAAAAACGGCCAGGAAAUUGGCUUAGAAGCGGCCAUUUUUUGAAGAUCUCGUAAAAGAGCACUGGUUUAGUAUAUUUUAUACGUGAAUAGUAGCACCGAAGAUUUAACGGAUCUAAACAAUAUACCGACACCUUGUCCAUAAAAAGGAUGAGCUUGUAGACAGCUCGUAUUUUUAUGGGGUAGCAGAACGUUGGGUAAAUAACACGGUUUAUUGUUUUUAACAAUAAAUAUAAGAUAACCCAAGUGAUAAUGCUGACAUGAGUAACGAAAAAGGGGUUAUACCCUCGCCUAAAGCUUAUGGUAUUUUAAAAUAAGUAACGGCCUCUAAGUUUACCAACCUAAAGGAUUAAACGAUGAGAAAAUCUUUUAGUUACUUAGUAACAACCUUCCUUCUUAUGUAACCAAGUCACCUUGCGAGGGGUUUGCUUGGAAAUAUUAUUGCCAAGUACCGGCGGAAGGCGGGCAUAAGAAAAGUUGAGGGAGGUUCUGGAAAAACAGUGACAAACCAGCUUCCGGCAAGUACGGAAGAAAGGGGGAAAACAAAACCGUACCUAAAUACCACCUCAGGUAAGCUAGUAGAGAAUACGAAGGCGUUUGAGUGAACAAUCAUUAAGGAACUCGGCAAACUAACUACCGUAACUUCGGAAUAAGGAGUGCCAUUCCUCUUCAUUAAUAUGAGGUAAAGAAUAGGAAGCAUGGAAUAGUGUUGUACGACUGUUUAAUUAAAACAAAGCACUUCGCAAUAAGAUAAUAAAUCAAAGUAUUGAGUGUGAAUUCUGCCCGAUGUCGGCCGGUUAACGGAUUUACUAAGUUGACUAAUAUAAGCUUGGUUUUGAAGGAAACCCCGAUCAAUGGCGGUCUUACCUAUGAGGAUCCUAAGGUAGCGGAAUACCUUGGCCGUUAAAUGCGGUCUUGCAUGAAUGAUUUAACGAUACAACAGCUGUCUCAAUGAUUGGCUCAGUGAAAUUGGAAUGACAGUGCAGAUACUGUUUAUCUCUAGAUAGACGAGAAGACCCUAUGCAGCUUUACUGUUACUAGUUAUUAGAUAUGAUAAACAGCAUUUUUAGUGCAUAAGGUAGGUGCGCGGAGGUUUCAUUGGAUUCUUCUGUCACCCAAAUUGAAACACCUUUAUUUAGUUUUUCAUAUUGGUAAAUAUAUUUUACGUGAAAAAUCCAAUAUGGGUCUUUCAUUUCCAGAGGAACGAUGACUAGGAGGCAGUUUAUGCGGGGCACAGAUCCCAUAAAAAGUACCUGGGUGUAUCCAAAGUUAAUUUUGUAAAUUUGUUAUAAUUUAUAACAACCAAAACUAGUUUUGGUUUUUAGUUUGUUAUUAGAGAUAAAAGCCUUGGGCUUCUAUUUCCAAUCCACCUAUAUAUCUAUUGAGUUAGAACUAAAAAUUUUAAUCAAGUAAGAUUUUAUCUAUAUUGAAAAUAGAUGUAAACUAUGUUAUUAAGAUCUUUAAUAUCAUUGUUAUAUUAAAAGCCAACUGGGUAACCUGGAUGGCUUACUUGCCACAAACCGAGCUUGCCAUCGUCCGGCCGAACCCUCGAAGGAGGGAUGAGGUGGAGGAGGGAUAAGGAACCAAGGGACUUGGUGCAUUCCCCUACCGUUUCGGGGCGGUGGUGCAAGGGUUGUAGGGGAAGAGGCGAAGCGCUGGCAGGGAGGCGAAGCCAGCUGGGUACACGGAAGAUAAUAAUAUAAUAUUUACUUGUCAAG
RNAcentral lists this ribosomal RNA (2611 nucleotides) under Blumeria graminis f. sp. tritici Bgt#70. Its description in RNAcentral is "bacterial LSU rRNA". The stretch from base 1 to 2248 matches the Rfam family "Bacterial large subunit ribosomal RNA". The record is from RNAcentral. Lineage: Eukaryota; Fungi; Ascomycota; Leotiomycetes; Helotiales; Erysiphaceae.